This 432-nucleotide ribosomal RNA is filed under the name uncultured bacterium. RNAcentral describes it as "partial 16S ribosomal RNA". It matches the Rfam family "Bacterial small subunit ribosomal RNA", at positions 29 to 507 of the family's 1533-position model. The record is from RNAcentral.
ACGCACGCUGGCGGCAUGCCUCACCCCUGCCCGUCGAACGCGACCUUCGGGUCUAGUGGCGCACGGGUGCGUAACGCGUGGGAACCUGCCCUUAGGUUCGGAAUAACUCCCCGAAAGGGGUGCUAAUACCGGAUAAUGUCUUCGGACCAAAGAUUUAUCGCCUUUGGAUGGGCCCGCGUUGGAUUAGCUAGUUGGUAGGGUAAAAGCCUACCAAGGCGACGAUCCAUAGCUGGUCUGAGAGGAUGAUCAGCCACACUGGGACUGAGACACGGCCCAGACUCCUACGGGAGGCAGCAGUGGGGAAUAUUGGACAAUGGGCGAAAGCCUGAUCCAGCAAUGCCGCGUGAGUGAUGAAGGCCUUAGGGUUGUAAAGCUCUUUUACCCGGGAUGAUAAUGACAGUACCGGGAGAAUAAGCGCCGGCUAACUCCGUG